GCCCGGUAGCUACGUUCGGAACUGAUAAGCGCUGAAAGCAUCUAAGCGCGAAGCAGGCCUCGAGAUGAGUUCUCACUAGACUUUUAAAGUCUCUGAAGGGCCGUUGAAGACUACAACGUUGAUAGGCAGGAUGUGGAAGUGGUGYGAGCCAUUAAGCUAACCUGUACUAAUUACCCGUGAGGCUUAACCAUACAACGCCAAACGCGUUU
Molecule: ribosomal RNA, 209 nt
Filed under: Pseudoalteromonas shioyasakiensis
Lineage: Bacteria; Pseudomonadati; Pseudomonadota; Gammaproteobacteria; Alteromonadales; Pseudoalteromonadaceae
Description: partial 23S ribosomal RNA
Source: RNAcentral